CCCUCCUUAGUUCAAUGGUAGAACACAUCUCCUCCACGCCAGGGCGUGAUUGAGAUGAGACGGUGGUUCGAUUCCGCCAGGUGGCA
This is a non-coding RNA of Roridomyces roridus, 86 nucleotides long. NCBI's taxonomy places the organism in Eukaryota, Fungi, Basidiomycota, Agaricomycetes, Agaricales, Mycenaceae. The record is from the annotation of a GenBank genome assembly.